UAAGGAAUAUUGGACAAUGGCCGCAAGGCUGAUCCAGCCAUCCAGCGUGCAGGAAGAAGGCCCUAUGGGUUGUAAACUGCUUUUAUCAGGGAAGAAACCUCUGGAUUCACUCCGGAGCUGACGGUACCUGAAGAAUAAGCACCGGCUAACUCCGUGCCAGCAGCCGCGGUAAUACGGAGGGUGCGAGCGUUAUCCGGAAUUACUGGGUUUAAAGGGUGCGUAGGCGGCUUUGUAAGUCAGGAGUGAAAGUUUGCGGCUCAACCGUAAAAUUGCUUCUGAUACUGCAUAGCUAGAAUCAGGAUGAGGUCAGCGGAAUGUGGCAUGUAGCGGUGAAAUGCAUAGAUAUGCCAUAGAACACCAAUUGCGAAGGCAGCUGGCUAGACCUGUAUUGACGCUGAGGCACGAAAGCGUGGGGAGCGAACAGGAUUAGAUACCCUGGUAGUCCACGCCCUAAACGAUGCUUACUCGACGUAUGGCCCUCGUGGUUGUGCGUCCAAGGGAAACCGUUAAGUAAGCCACCUGGGGAGUACGACCGCAAGGUUGC
Molecule: ribosomal RNA, 544 nt
Filed under: uncultured Bacteroidota bacterium
Lineage: Bacteria; Pseudomonadati; Bacteroidota
Description: bacterial SSU rRNA
Rfam family: Bacterial small subunit ribosomal RNA
Source: RNAcentral